Long non-coding RNA from Halichondria panicea, 1306 nucleotides. RefSeq lists it as uncharacterized. The record is from RefSeq and is a predicted model, not a curated record. The transcript has 4 exons. NCBI's taxonomy places the organism in Eukaryota, Metazoa, Porifera, Demospongiae, Suberitida, Halichondriidae.
UAAUGUGCAUUUAGUAUCCAUGUCAUGUUGCUAGAGUUAGCCACUAUAUUAUUGUAGGGAGGCAGCUAGCUUGUUAAUUCGUAUCAUAUAGCUCUACUCUCUAUAUAGAGUCUCUUAUAUAUAUAUAUAGCUGAACGUACCUAUACUAGAUAGAGCCAUGCUAAUUAUGAGCAAGCUAUUUAUAGUUAAUUGCUAGCUAGCUAUAUCGGCAAAAAAGAUUUGCAAGUUUUCUAUAUGAAGUAGGAAAAUCCGAUCAAGUAUGAUGCCAAUGUCAAUGGUAGUAUCAAUGCGUUGUUCAGCGCUACUCUUAGGAGUGUGCCUAAUCAUAAAUGUGUCUGGUCUGAGGAUCACCUUUACGUCAUCUCUGCAAUCAACAAACAGAAUCUACUCUUGUCCGGGGGAGAUUGUUACCUAUGUCUGCAGUGGAAAUGGAAGUGAAAUGGACCUAUAUGCCCCACCAUACGUUUCUUCGACCUUUCCUUUGUCGUAUGACAUUAACGACACUCCGGGGUUAAAACUUGGUGGCUCCGGCCCUAUUGUAACGAAUCUUUCUUCGAUUAGUCCUCUCAAAGCAAAUUUGGUAGUGCAAAAUUCAUCGUUGCCAGAGUUUUCUGUUCAUUGUAUUGUUCGUGCACCACAUUCAUCUUCAAAAAGAGAUGAAACCCGGUACAGGCCUUCAGGUUUUCCUUUAGAUGUGAUUUCUCUGAGGACAUUUCACGAAUUUAACACUGCUGGUGUUACCUGGAGGAAUAAUGAUGGAAAUUAUGAUCCUAGUCACUACACAGUCCAGUUAUUUGCAAAUAAUACUCUGACUGAAUCCACUGUUAUUUCUGCAGAAAGCAAUAGAUCAGUAGCAGAAUUUACUACGUCUUUCAGUGGCACUGUAGAUGUCUAUGCAAAGAUAACAGUGACGUCCAAGUGUAACCAGACAUCUAAUGGAGUUUUCACUGACACCUUUACGAUAACUAGUGCAAGUACAACAACGGAGUAUGUGUUCUGGUUACUCCUUUCAACUGCAACAUUCGUCCUAUACAGCAAUAGUAUAGUGUAGGUGUAUAUCUCUGCUUCAAAACUACAGCCUAUAUAUAUAGGUGUGCUCAGGAGUGCACUCCUGGUGUACUAUAAAUAUUUUUAUUUUCAUGUAGCAAUAUUUUUUCAUAGCUGAUUUACUGUGAUGUCUUCUCUAAUGUAUAGCUAUAAACAUUUACGACUCUUACAUUUCUUUAUUUUGUAGUACAAUCCUACACUCUAUGUUUUGUGCAUGUACACUAAUGCAGUGAGCGAGGAGAAAUUUUUUUCAACUGCA